Molecule: ribosomal RNA, 76 nt
Filed under: Salvator merianae (Argentine black and white tegu)
Lineage: Eukaryota; Metazoa; Chordata; Lepidosauria; Squamata; Teiidae
Source: RNAcentral
GUCCAUGGUCUAGAAAUCCAAAUCCUUGCUGGUACUUGGAUGGGAGACUGCCUGGGAAUAUCGGGUGCUGUAGGCA